GCAGGUUGGGCUUUGGCAGUAGUGGGUGGAGCAAAUUUACCAAUAGGGGGGAGUGCACUCGUAGGAGUGGCUGAUGGAGAUCGUUUUGGAGUGGCAGUAGCUGAUUCUUGAGGCACUACUGUAGACUUGUCCUGAGUUUCGGCGGGAGCAUUAACUGAUACGUCAGGUAAAAAACGCUUGAACUCCUCUAAUAAGUCAGGAGCUUCCGCAAAUAACUGAGAUACUUGAAAAUAGACAAGUUGUAUAGGUCGUUGAUCGUGUUGGUAUGAUUUUAGGAUGUCUAAAAACGAGUUAUAGGCUUCAGGUUUAUGGGAAAACCGAUUUUUAACAUUAUUAACAAAAUUAAUGGCUUGGUCGAGAUCGGCAGCCUGUUUCACAGAUGCAUCAACUGGAGGAUAUGAUGGAGCAGCUGGAGAAGGAGAGGGGUUAAAUUGCAAUGUAGAUGGAGCCGGAGGUUGCAAAACAGGAUGAGAGGCUGACGAUUGUUUCAUAUUCAUGGAAGUAUAAGAGGCAGCCGCAGGAAGAGGUGUAGUUGAACCAUGUGGAGGCGGAGGAGCAGUGGUUUUACCUAAAUCAUUGAUCAUUAGAGGACCUUGAGGCGUAGU
Schizosaccharomyces pombe (fission yeast) is the source of this 605-nucleotide non-coding RNA. The record is from the annotation of a GenBank genome assembly. NCBI's taxonomy places the organism in Eukaryota, Fungi, Ascomycota, Schizosaccharomycetes, Schizosaccharomycetales, Schizosaccharomycetaceae.